This 1469-nucleotide ribosomal RNA is filed under the name uncultured marine bacterium. RNAcentral describes it as "bacterial SSU rRNA". It matches the Rfam family "Bacterial small subunit ribosomal RNA". The record is from RNAcentral.
GAGUUUGAUCAUGGCUCAGAACGUACGCUGGCGGCACGCCUAACACAUGCAAGUCGAGCGGGGUAGCAAUACCUAGCGGCAGACGGGUGCGUAACAUGUGGGAAUCUGCCUUUUGGUUCGGAACAACAUGGGGAAACCUGUGCUAAUACCGGAUAAGUCCUAACGGAGAAAGUUUUAAUGCCAAAAGAUGAGCCCGCAUUUGAUUAGCUUGUUGGUGAGGUAAAAGCUCACCAAGGCUAUAAUCAAUAGCUGAUUUGAGAGGAUGAUCAGCCACAUUGGGACUGAGACACGGCCCAGACUCCUACGGGAGGCAGCAGUGGGGAAUAUUGGACAAUGGGCGCAAGCCUGAUCCAGCCAUACCGCGUGUGUGAAGAAGGCCUUCGGGUUGUAAAGCACUUUAAGCAGGGAGAAAAAGUUAUAAGUUAAUACCUUAUAACCCUGAUGUUACCUGCAGAAUAAGCACCGGCUAAUUCCGUGCCAGCAGCCGCGGUAAUACGGAAGGUGCAAGCGUUAAUCGGAAUUACUGGGCGUAAAGCGCGCGUAGGUGGUUUGUUAAGUUGGAUGUGAAAGCCCUGGGCUCAACCUAGGAACUGCAUCCAAAACUAACUCACUAGAGUACGAUAGAGGGAGGUAGAAUUCAUAGUGUAGCGGUGGAAUGCGUAGAUAUUAUGAAGAAUACCAGUGGCGAAGGCGGCCUCCUGGAUCUGUACUGACACUGAGGUGCGAAAGCGUGGGUAGCGAACAGGAUUAGAUACCCUGGUAGUCCACGCCGUAAACGAUGACAACUAGCUGUUAGGAGACUAUGUCUUUUAGUGGCGCAGCUAACGUUUUAAGUUGUCCGCCUGGGGAGUACGGCCGCAAGGCUAAAACUCAAAUGAAUUGACGGGGACCCGCACAAGCAGUGGAUCAUGUGGUUUAAUUCGAUGCAACGCGAAAAACCUUACCUACUCUUGACAUACUUGGAAGCUCUUGUAAUGAGAGUGUGCUUUUAAGAACCAAGAUACAGGUGCUGCAUGGCUGUCGUCAGCUCGUGUCGUGAGAUGUUCCGUUAAGUCGGAUAACGAGCGCAACCCUUACCCUUAUUUGCCAGCAAUUCGGUCGGGAACUAUAAGGGGACUGCCGGUGAUAAACCGGAGGAAGGUGAGGACGACGUCAAGUCAUCAUGGCCCUUACGAGUAGGGCUACACACGUGCUACAAUGGGAGAUACAGACGGACGCUAAGCCGCGAGGUGGUGCUAAUCCUAAAAAGUCUUUCGUAGUCCGGAUUGGAGUCUGCAACUCGACUCCAUGAAGUCGGAAUCGCUAGUAAUCGCGGAUCAGCAUGCCGCGGUGAAUACGUUCUCGGGUCUUGUACACACCGCCCGUCACACCAUGGAAGUGGAUUGCACCAGAAGUAGAUAGUCUAACCUUAGGGAGGGCGUUUACCACGGUGUGCUUCAUGACUGGGGUGAAGUCGUAACAAGGUAACC